This 528-nucleotide ribosomal RNA is filed under the name uncultured Nitrospirota bacterium. RNAcentral's name for it is "bacterial SSU rRNA". It matches the Rfam family "Bacterial small subunit ribosomal RNA", at positions 403 to 949 of the family's 1533-position model. The record is from RNAcentral. Lineage: Bacteria; Pseudomonadati; Nitrospirota.
GGAGGAUGAAGGCCUUCGGGUUGUAAACUCCUUUUUUAGGGGAAAAUAAUGAUGGUACCCUGCGAAUAAGCCACGGCUAACUCUGUGCUAGCAGCCGCGGUAAGACAGAGGUGGCAAGCGUUGUUCGGAAUUACGGGGCUUAAAGGGAGCGUAGGCGAUAAGAUAAGUCUGUGGUGAAAUCUUAGGGCUUAACCCUAAAACUGCCAUGGAAACUGUUUUACUUGAGUCAGCGAGGGGAUGGUGGAAUUCCUGGUGUAGCAGUGAAAUGCAUAGAUAUCCGGAGGAAGGCCGGUGGCGAAGGCGGACAUCUGGCGCUUAACCCACGCUGAGGCGCGACAGCUUGGGUAGUAAACAGGAUUAGAUACCCUGGUAGUCCACGCCCUAAACGGUGGGCAUUAGGUGUAGGGUUCGUAAGGGUUUUGUGCCGUAGGGAAACCAUUAAAUGCCCCGCCUGGGGAGUACGGCCGCAAGGUUUAAACUCAAAGGAAUUGACGGGGGCCCGCCCAAGCGGUGGAGCAUGUGGUUUAA